Molecule: long non-coding RNA, 244 nt
Filed under: Lathyrus oleraceus (garden pea)
Lineage: Eukaryota; Viridiplantae; Streptophyta; Magnoliopsida; Fabales; Fabaceae
Description: Pisum sativum (pea) long non-coding RNA (PSAT_LNC004188)
Source: RNAcentral
UUACAACACCAUAGGGUAUACGCACCCAGGGCCCAAUACGCUCAAUACUCUAAUGGGGGAGCUCACGAGGUGGGGUGUAAGGAGAAGGAGGGGUAUCACUAGUAAAAAUUGGGCCUAAGGUCCAGUCUACAAACUGGAGGAAAACCGGGUGUACGAAAGCAAAUGAGGGUGCAAACAGGAGAAAGAGCCCAUAAGCCCAAAGGGUAAAAAACCCUAGUAUCCAUAAGAGAGAGGUGAAAUAGGG